UAGUAACCUGCCCUUGACUCUGGGAUAAGCCUGGGAAACGGGUCUAAUACCGGAUAUGACCUUCCAUCGCAUGGUGGUUGGUGGAAAGCUUUUGUGGUUUUGGAUGGACUCGCGGCCUAUCAGCUUGUUGGUGGGGUAAUGGCCUACCAAGGCGACGACGGGUAGCCGGCCUGAGAGGGUGACCGGCCACACUGGGACUGAGACACGGCCCAGACUCCUACGGGAGGCAGCAGUGGGGAAUAUUGCACAAUGGGCGCAAGCCUGAUGCAGCGACGCCGCGUGAGGGAUGACGGCCUUCGGGUUGUAAACCUCUUUCAGUAGGGAAGAAGCGAAAGUGACGGUACCUGCAGAAGAAGCGCCGGCUAACUACGUGCCAGCAGCCGCGGUAAUACGUAGGGCGCAAGCGUUAUCCGGAAUUAUUGGGCGUAAAGAGCUCGUAGGCGGUUUGUCGCGUCUGCCGUGAAAGUCCGGGGCUCAACUCCGGAUCUGCGGUGGGU
RNAcentral lists this ribosomal RNA (497 nucleotides) under Pseudarthrobacter chlorophenolicus. RNAcentral describes it as "bacterial SSU rRNA". It matches the Rfam family "Bacterial small subunit ribosomal RNA", at positions 119 to 631 of the family's 1533-position model. Lineage: Bacteria; Bacillati; Actinomycetota; Actinomycetes; Micrococcales; Micrococcaceae. The record is from RNAcentral.